RNAcentral lists this long non-coding RNA (5649 nucleotides) under Sus scrofa (pig). Its description in RNAcentral is "lncRNA (ENSSSCG00065039645.1)". Lineage: Eukaryota; Metazoa; Chordata; Mammalia; Artiodactyla; Suidae. The record is from RNAcentral.
AAGAAAAGGUAGAUUUCUUUGUAAAAAUCUGCAGCCUAAAAGUUAUCACAGUUUUUUUUUUCCUUCAUAUAUAUUUUUUUAAAUUAUGGGCGAUGGAGGGCUGUCUUCCCAAUUUAUUUUCUGCAAUUGAACUCACACUGAACUUCAGGCAUACUUCUGCCUGCUUGACAUCUCCGCUUAGAUGUUUAAAAGACGUCUCAAACUUAACAUUUAAAAGUUAACUCCUAAUCUUUUUCUCUAUCCAAAUAUGCUUUUUCUGUUUCCCCAUUUUAGCAAAUGUCAAUUGCAGGUUCCCACUUUCUUAGGGAAAACAUUAGUUAUCAUCAACCCUUUCCUUCAUAAUCUUUAUUCAAUGCACUAGCAUAUUCUGUUGUUUCACCUUCUAAAUAUACAUCAGGCUAAACUACUUCUCAUCACUUCAACUGCCACCAUUCUGGUCCAAGUAAUGAUUAUCUUUUAUCUGAACUUCUACCAUAGCCUCCUAGGGAUCUUCCAAGAUUUCUCUAGUUGGCUCACUUACCACUUUUCCAUGCCCUUCUUCAUACUAGAAAUGUUGAAAGUUUAGAAAGGUCAGUCUCAUUUGCCAGAAUCCCUUGCAGUUAGUUGUUGGAUUCAUUUCCCUUACUAGAUGCUGAGUGAGAUUUGAAAGAUGGAAAUUGGGCAAAGACUGCAUUCCUUUCCCCUUGAGUCAUUUUCUGGAAAAUUAGCAAAGCCGCAAUCCUCUGAGUUUUCUCUGCAGUAGAAUUCCAGUGCCUGUUCCCCAGCCUUUUCCAUGACAAAAAGUUUCAGAGGUGGGAGAGGCAGACAGCAGUGCUUUUAUCUGCCUUCUUGAUCCAUGAAUUAUAGCUGUGGGUGUCAUGUGCCAGUGUCCUGUGCAUCUGGAGGAAACUACAAGGGCAGGAUUCUUGAAAGUAGCAGUUGGUCCUUGAUCCUGCUAUCAAUCCAGUGGUGGCCUGGGAGUAGUCCCCCUGACUGGUUAUUUCUCUUCUGCUAAUGUAUUUUUAAAUUGAAGUAUGGUUGAUUUACAAUCUUGUGCCAAUUUCUACUGUACAGCAUAGUGACCCAGUCAUACAUAUAUAUACAUUCUUUUUCUCACACUAUCUUUCACUGUGUUCUAUCCCAAGAGACUGGAUAUAGUUCCUGGUGCUAUACCUCAUUGCUUAUCCAUUCUAAAUGUAAUAGUUUGCAUCUACUCUGACUGGUUAUUAGUCCAUUCAUUGUUUGGUCCUCAUUCCUGAUGGCCUGAGCUAAACCAAUUUCUUCAGCUCUUCUAACAAUUGUGUAAGCAUCUUAACAUAACUAUAAUGCAUUCUUCAACUCUUAUUCGCUGUGUGAUUUUGUAAAAGGUACUCUCUUUAAAUUUCAAUAUCAUCUAUAAAAUGAAGAUAAUAGCAAUGACUAAAUAAUAAUAUAUUUUGAAGACUAACUAAAAAGUUUAGAAGUGUUUCCUAUUUCUUUGGUAUGUGACAGGUGCUUAAUAAAGGUAAGCCUCUGUCAUUAUUUUCCACUUACCCCACCGAUGACAGUUUAGCUCUAGCCUUAAUCUCCAGUUGCCCAGAUUAUGCAAAUAGUUUCUAAUCUUCUUGCCUAUGCUCUUGAUACUUUUUUUUUAAACGAAGUUUAGUUGAUUUACAAUAUUGUGUUAGUUUCAGGUGUACAGCAUUGUGAUUCAGCAUUUUUUUUUCUGAUUAUAUUUCAUUAUAUGUUAUUAUAAGAUGUUGAAUAUAACUCCCUGUGCUAUCCAGUAAAUCUUUGUUGCUUAUCUAUUUUAUGCAUAGUAGUUUCUAUCCAUUAAUCCCAAAUUUCUAAUUUGUUCUCUCCCUCUUCCCUUUGAUAACCAUAAGUUUGUUUCCAGGCGUGAGUCUGUUUCUAUUUUGUAUAUAGAUUUGUUUUAUUAUUUUUUUUUAGGUUCCACCUAUAAAUGAUAUCAUUUAAUAUUUGUUUUUCUCUGACUUACUUCACUAAAAAAUAUUCUCUAGGCCCAUCCAUGUGGCUGCUAAUUGCCGUAUGUCAUUCUUUUUAUGGCUAAUAUUUCACUGUAUAUAUACCACAUCUUCUUAAACUAGUUUUUUGUUGAGGUUGUGUCCAUUUGUCCAUGUGUCAGUUGUUAUAAAUAGUGCCUUGCUACUUUUUAAUCUGUUGUUUUAUUUACAACCAGCAUGAACUUUAUAAAUUCAAAUUAACCAUAUCACAUAAUUAUUUCAAAUACGGAAAUGUAUCCUAAUGUUCCUUAGUGUAGAGUUCUAAAUACUGAGCAAAGUUAAUUUUACCUUCCGUUAUCUGACCUCUGCUUAAAUAUUCAGGUUAUAUUUCCGCUCUUGCCACUACCUUCCCCAUUGCCAACCUGUAACACUUCAUUCUGCUGAUGUCAUCCUGGCUUGGCUUGACCUCCAAGUUUUCAUGCAACCUUUGCCUAGAAGAUCUUUCUCCCUGUAUUCCUGUCAAGUGAUUAAAUUAAAUUCCUUCCUUAAACUUGACCACAGAGCUCACUUCCUCUUCCUUCUUAGGAAGCCUUCCCGGAUCUGCAUCAUUCUAUCAUAUUCUCCUCCUAUGGUACACACAGCACACUCUUCCUCCUCUAUUAUAGCAUGGGAUAGAGGAAUAAUAGCUAACCUUUGACAGUAUUUCAUACUAGGAUGAAAAAAUAUAAAUACACAGUCCAGGCUGGCUGACUCAUAAGCAAACCUUCAUCGCCUAGUCCAAAUCUGGCAAACCAUAGCUGUGCAACAACUGUUAGUGAAGAGUGGAAUGUAUGAAAUGAAUCCCUACUGAAUAUAGCUGGCUUUAGGCCUAAUUGGAUCUCACAUGAGUAUUUAUAAUAGUCUCCUCCAUUUUCUGCCACCCACUUUUGUCACACCUUGAAUGUGUUAUCCACUCUCUAACAAAGAAGAGUCCAUUUACACAUAAUCUCCCUUGCUAUAACCCAUGAAUGUCUUGCCAUUGCCUAUACGUUAAAUUCUAAACUCUAUAUUUUUGUCAUUCAGUAAAUAUUGAUUGAUUGCAUUUUUACUGAUGGCAGGGUGCUGUGCUAUACUGCUCAGCAUUUCAUCAAAGUCCCAUCAGAACCAGAUUGCACUGACCAACCUGUCUCACCUCCUCUUCUUAUACUUGAUGGUUACUAGUAGAAUAGAACACUUCUUAUCCAACACAUUGAGGACCCACAAUUACUCUGUUUUUGUUUGGUGGUGGUUGUUUUGUUUUAUGCUUUUAGGGCCGUACCCAUGGCAUGUGGGAGGUUCUGAGGCUAGAGGGUCCCAGGCUACAGCUGCCAGCCAACAGCCACAGAAAUGAGGGAUCUGAGCGGCAUCUACAACCUACACCACAGCCCACAGCAAUAGUAGAUCCUUAACCCACUUAGCGAGGCCAGGGGUUGAACCUUCAUCCUCAGGGAUACUAGACAGCUUUGUUUCCACUGAGCCAUCUUGGGAACUCCCCUCAUCUUCUCUUUAAAUGUGAAUCAUCUGGUUUGAAUUCUGACUAUAUUAUUGCAUAAUGCCAAAAAUCAUCUUUUAUUUUGCUUUUUGUUUGUUUUUUGCUUUUCAGUGCUGUGCCCAUGGCAUAUGGAAGUUCCCAGGCUAGGGGUUGAAUCCAAGCUACAGCUGCCAGCCUAUGCCACAGAAAUGAGGGAUCUGAGCCGCCUCUGCAACCUACACCACAGCUCACAGCAAUACCAGAUCCUUAACCCAAUGAGAAGUGCUAGGGAUAGAAGCCAUGUCCACAUGGAUACUAGUUGGGUUCCUUACCACUGAGCCACAACAGGAAUUCCCAAACUUUUUAAAUUAGAAAAAGUUCAAGACAUUUGAGAAGAAAGCUGGAUCUGCAAUUCCUCAAUGUUUCCCCAAUAAUUUCUAUUUGUUUUUCUCUAAUCUUUCAACAGAAAAUUCUAUAGUGAUUCUUGUUAUUUUGUGACUUUUUACAUGGAUGAUAUUUUUAUUUAUUCAUGUUAUAUAAUUAAUUAAUGUGAUAGUUGAAAGAAAAUACAAACGACUUUUAGCAAACACUUGACUCAAUGUGUGGAAACAACAAAGUUAUGAACAAGCCCGCUGGGUAAGAAAAGUGAAGACAGCAAUAUUUAAUGUCCUCUGGCCAUAGGUUGCUGUAUGUUACAAAGGAAUUGGAGAGAACCAAUCCGGUAGAGAAAAAGUUGAUUAAAGGUGUUUGUCUGGCACUGGAGUUCUAGUGGUCCCUCAUUCAAUUCCAUUUCCCCCACCCUUGUGGAUUAUAUAUCUAAAUACUUGUUCAUUCUGCCUGAGAACUUAUCCUUUCUGAAUAGUUAUUAAUCAUCCCAUGAGAGUGAAUUUAGACUUACCUUGCCCCAGUGAGCCCUUCUUGUAUGCUUCUAUAGAACUUUUUGUAUGCCCUCCAACCUAACACUUUCCCCAGCAGAUUGAAAUUUUGCAUCUCUUGGUGUUUCUCUUCAAUUAGAUUUUGGUUGUUAGAAGGUAGUUUUUGUUUCUUACAGGUCCUGCUCUUGGCACCUCCCACAGUUUCUGGCACAUAGUUUUACAGUCAGUAAGUAUUUGCUCAUUUUAGUUACUGUGUUCGUGUUUGUUCCAUCACCCACCUAGCAUACCUAACUGGAGUCUUUCUCAUCACUUGGCAAUUUUCUAAAUGCAGAUUUAAACUCUGAAUUCCCCCACUCUGAUUACAAAUUACCUCUUCUAUUCUGUUGCGGUCUCACUGAAUCUGCCUUUCCUCUCAUUAUUAUAGUUACACCUCUAACUCCUUUUUAUCUUUCUAGUCCAUUACUCUGUUUCUGAUUUCACUACAUUUUCUACUCCACUUGAAUCAAUUGUUUAUACUUUGUACAAUGUGGAUUCACUAAAAUGCAUUUCCUUUGCCCAUGUCGGUCUGUGGGAUCCCUCUUGCCCCGUGUUAUUUAUCUCUCCUCCCAAGUUAUAUCAGCUGGAGAUUACAGAACCACACUAGGUUGGGGGCCAAUACAAAUUCUCAGUAACUCAACCUCAUGGGGAACAUUGAUAUUCUUCUCCUCCAUUUCUUUUGAACAAGAACUGUCAUUUCUUAUUUUUAAAACUCACCAUCACUCCAUCUACCUCUUCCUCCUCUUGGAACUUGCUCCAUUAACUUUUUCAUCUCUCAUUUGCAUUUUCAAUUUCUCCUUCGUCUUUUUUAUCCCUUACGGUGAUUCAUAUUCCUUCAUCUUAGUUACACUUCAAAUAUUUUUUUUCUCUGUUCUGACAUUUUUUUUUCUGUAAUACCAAGUUUGCUGAAAGUCAAGUCUAUAAAAUGUUCUAUAAGUCUGCCUGUUCUUCCACACUAGCUAUUCUUUUUAUUCUUGCAACAUAAUGAUAUAGUACUUAAUACCCACAAAUAUAACUGAAAACUCACUGUUUGAGAACAAUGUGGUGCUUCAUAUUUAUUACUUUAUUUAAAUAUUAAAAUACCUCUACAGCAGUUCCGUUGUGGCACAGCAGAAACAAAUCCGACUAGGAAGCAUGAGGUUGCGGGUUCAAUCCCUGGCCUUGCUCAGUGGGUUGAGGAUUCGGUAUUGCCGUGAGCUGUGGUGUAAGUCGCAGAUGUGUCUGGGAUCUGGCAUUGCUGUGGCUCUGGCGAAGGCUGGCAGCUAUAGCUCCGAUUGGACCCCUAGCCUGGGAACCUCCAUAUGCCAUGGGUGUGGCCCUAAAAAAA